UACGAAGGGGGCUAGCGUUGCUCGGAAUCACUGGGCGUAAAGCGCACGUAGGCGGACUCUUAAGUCGGUGGUGAAAUCCUGGAGCUCAACUCCAGAACUGCCUUCGAUACUGAGAGUCUUGAGUCCGGGAGAGGUGAGUGGAACUGCGAGUGUAGAGGUGAAAUUCGUAGAUAUUCGCAAGAACACCAGUGGCGAAGGCGGUUGCCUGGAGCUUUGCUGACGCUGAUGCGCGAAAGCGUGGGGAGCGAUCCGG
This 253-nucleotide ribosomal RNA is filed under the name uncultured bacterium. Its description in RNAcentral is "partial 16S ribosomal RNA". It matches the Rfam family "Bacterial small subunit ribosomal RNA", at positions 524 to 776 of the family's 1533-position model. The record is from RNAcentral.